AAAAAGGCCCUUUUCAGGGCCAAACAAAUAGGCUUUUGGAGCUUG
Molecule: non-coding RNA, 45 nt
Organism: Ixodes scapularis (black-legged tick)
Lineage: Eukaryota; Metazoa; Arthropoda; Arachnida; Ixodida; Ixodidae
Source: Rfam